Molecule: non-coding RNA, 69 nt
Organism: Rattus norvegicus (Norway rat)
Lineage: Eukaryota; Metazoa; Chordata; Mammalia; Rodentia; Muridae
Source: Rfam
GGGGAUUUGGCUCAGUGGUAGAGUGCUUGCCUAGGAAGCGCAAGGUCCUGGGUUCAGUCCCCAGCCCCG